This 429-nucleotide unclassified non-coding RNA is filed under the name soil metagenome. RNAcentral describes it as "partial contains 5.8S ribosomal RNA, internal transcribed spacer 2, and large subunit ribosomal RNA". The stretch from base 1 to 120 matches the Rfam family "5.8S ribosomal RNA", at positions 35 to 154 of the family's 154-position model. The record is from RNAcentral.
GAUGAAGAACGUAGCGAAAUGCGAUACGUAAUGUGAAUUGCAGAAUUCAGUGAAUCAUCGAAUCUUUGAACGCAUAUUGCGCUCUUUGGUAUUCCGAAGAGCAUGCUUGUUUGAGUAUCAGUAAACACCUCAAAGACUUCAAUUUGUUUUGAAUGGCUUUGGCCUUGAGCAAUCCCAACACCAGUCUUUACGAUCGGUGGAGGGUUGCUUGAAAUGCAGGUGCAGCUGGACAUUCUCCUGAGCUAAAAGCAUAUUUAUUUAGUCCCGUCAAACGGAUUAUUACUUUUGCUGCAGCUAACAUAAAGGGAGUUUGACCGUAUUGGCUGACUGAUGCAGGAUUUCACAAGGGUCGGCAACGAUUCUUGUAAAACUCGAUCUCAAAUCAAGUAAGACUACCCGCUGAACUUAAGCAUAUCAAUAAGCGGAGGA